Molecule: unclassified non-coding RNA, 334 nt
Filed under: uncultured Glomerales
Lineage: Eukaryota; Fungi; Glomeromycota; Glomeromycetes; Glomerales; Glomeraceae
Description: sequence contains 18S rRNA gene
Source: RNAcentral
CCCAACUAUCCCUAUUAAUCAUUACGUCAAUCCUAGAAACCAACAAAAUAGAAUCAAACGUCCUAUUUCAUUAUUCCAUGCUAAUGUAUUCAAGCGCGAGCCUGCUUUAAACACUCUAAUUUUUUCAAAGUAACAGUCCUGAUUCCCCAUGACAUCAAAUUAAUGACAUCAUGAUUCAUCAGAAGGGAGAAAUCAACAAUACUAGUACGUACCAAUGGCACGACCAGCAUAUUAAUCCCGAAAUUCAACUACGAGCUUUUUAACUGCAACAACUUUAAUAUACGCUAUUGGAGCUGGAAUUACCGCGGCUGCUGGCACCAGACUUGCCCUCCAA